CGGGAAGUAGCUCAGCUUGGUAGAGCACCACGUUCGGGACGUGGGGGUCGCAGGUUCAAAUCCUGUUUUCCCGA
Pediococcus cellicola is the source of this 74-nucleotide transfer RNA. It matches the Rfam family "tRNA". From Rfam's summary of the family: Transfer RNA (tRNA) molecules are approximately 80 nucleotides in length. Their secondary structure includes four short double-helical elements and three loops (D, anti-codon, and T loops). Further hydrogen bonds mediate the characteristic L-shaped molecular structure. tRNAs have two regions of fundamental functional importance: the anti-codon, which is responsible for specific mRNA codon recognition, and the 3' end, to which the tRNAs corresponding amino acid is attached (by aminoacyl-tRNA synthetases). tRNAs cope with the degeneracy of the genetic code in two manners: having more than one tRNA (with a specific anti-codon) for a particular amino acid; and 'wobble' base-pairing, i.e. permitting non-standard base-pairing at the 3rd anti-codon position. NCBI's taxonomy places the organism in Bacteria, Bacillati, Bacillota, Bacilli, Lactobacillales, Lactobacillaceae. The record is from Rfam.